Molecule: ribosomal RNA, 497 nt
Filed under: uncultured bacterium
Lineage: Bacteria
Description: partial 16S ribosomal RNA
Rfam family: Bacterial small subunit ribosomal RNA
Source: RNAcentral
GAUGAACGCUGGCGGCGUGCCUAAUACAUGCAAGUCGAGCGAACAGACGAGGAGCUUGCUCCUCUGACGUUAGCGGCGGACGGGUGAGUAACACGUGGAUAACCUACCUAUAAGACUGGGAUAACUUCGGGAAACCGGAGCUAAUACCGGAUAAUAUAUUGAACCGCAUGGUUCAAUAGUGAAAGACGGUUUUGCUGUCACUUAUAGCUGGAUCCGCGCCGCAUUAGCUAGUUGGUAAGGUAACGGCUUACCAAGGCAACGAUGCGUAGCCGACCUGAGAGGGUGAUCGGCCACACGGGAACGGAGACACGGUCCAGACUCCUGCGGGAGGCAGCAGUAGGGAAUCUUACGCAAUGGGCGAAAGCCUGACGGAGCAACGCCGCGUGAGUGAUGAAGGUCUUCGGAUCGUAAAACUCUGUUAUUAGGGAAGAACAAAUGUGUAAGUAACUAUGCACGUCUUGACGGUACCUAAUCAGAAAGCCACGGCUAACUACGUG